RNAcentral lists this small RNA (1012 nucleotides) under Drosophila ananassae. RNAcentral's name for it is "GF27190". The record is from RNAcentral. Lineage: Eukaryota; Metazoa; Arthropoda; Insecta; Diptera; Drosophilidae.
AAUAACUCCCAGCAGUGCCCCCUUCCCCUUAAUAGGCUUCCCACAAAUAGCUAGGACAAACCACACGGUUGGAAAUAGCAAACAAAGUGUUCCACAAAUGCUGAGACUGCUUCACUUAAAAUGUGCGAAUUUGUUUGCAUUGGCAUCACGUGCGCCUGGGAAUAUGCAUAAUUGAAUUUUAUAACCCGUAAAGCUGUUAUUGCUGUAGAUACGCUCGUAUAUGACUUCCUUCACACAACGUACCGGGAUUCUCCUUAAUCUCUGUUUGCUUUGAUGCCAAGGGAGAUGAAUCCAAAUAUUUCCCGAGCCUCUGCCCAGAAUAUCAAAUUGACGCAGACCAACAAGAAUUUCAUACUCUUUAUCAGCUCGGUGACAGUUUGUUGUCAGUGAAAACAAAUUGUUCUUGCUUAUUGUCUCGGGGCACGACAAUUAAUCACAGCAUUAAUAACAGAUCCAGCCAGUGGAUGACAAAAAGGCUUUUGGUCUGCUAAGUGCCUUCUAAAGACUCUGAGAAUUAAUGCAAAAUUGUGUGAAAUUAAAUGCCGCUUAUUAGUAGUAUACUAGGCGUAUACGCAAUGCCGGAAAUUAAACAUACGCCAAACGGCAACAGAAGGAUUGUGAGCCCCGGCUUAAAGCGGAAGUUAAUUGUUAUGCAGAAAACAUAAUGCGAACCAAGAGGGCUGGGUAGGGAACUGUCGGGUCGGCAAAGAGGCAGCCAAGAUGAUGCAAAGCAUAGCAAAACUUUAAUAUUUAAAUAUGAAAAUCUAUUUAUGUAAGACACACAGAGCUCUGGUCAAACACAAGGAAAACAAACACAAAAUGGAAAUUAUUAAAUAUGAGCCAUUAUUGGUUCAGGCUUGUGAAUACUCUAAAAGGAUAUUACAAACGAUAACUAAAAAAAGGAAAGCGCAAUUUAGAACAUCAAGUUUGCCAGACUGAUCGCAUUUUCCCACAAUAUUCCAAAACCAGAACUGCUUCCUCGUACCAAACGCUGGAAAAUGCAAAAUUCCCC